CCUACGGGAGGCAGCAGUGGGGGAUAUUGCACAAUGGGGGGAACCCUGAUGCAGCGACGCCGCGUGGGUGAAGGAGUGCUGCGGCAUGUAAAGCCCUAUCGGCAGGGAAGAAGCAAGACGGUACCUGACGAAGAAGCCCCGGCUAACUACGUGCCAGCAGCCGCGGUAAUACGUAGGGGGCGAGCGUUAGCCGGAUUCACGGGGUGUAAAGGGAGCGUAGACGGCCAUGCAAGCCAGGGGUGCAAGCCCGGGGCCCAACCCCGGGACUGCCCUUGGGACUGCAUGGCUGGAGUGCGGGAGGGGCCGGCGGAAUUCCUGGUGUAGCGGUGCACUGCGUAGAUAUCAGGAGG
This 350-nucleotide ribosomal RNA is filed under the name uncultured bacterium. RNAcentral's name for it is "partial 16S ribosomal RNA". It matches the Rfam family "Bacterial small subunit ribosomal RNA", at positions 338 to 704 of the family's 1533-position model. The record is from RNAcentral.